This 217-nucleotide long non-coding RNA is filed under the name Mytilus galloprovincialis (Mediterranean mussel). Lineage: Eukaryota; Metazoa; Mollusca; Bivalvia; Mytilida; Mytilidae. The record is from RNAcentral.
AUCAAGAUGGCUGCCGUUACCAUGGAAACGAAACAAAUGUGAAAAAAUCCAGUUUUUUGUUUUGGUGAACUGUUUGGAUAUGCUUAAACUCAGAAUCAUUAUAUUUUAAUACAAUGUAGGUGCCCACUAUAUACAGGUGUUGGAUGAUUUUGGCACUCAUUGGAACUACUAUGUUGCCAUGGAAACUACACCAAAAAUUUCAAAAAUAUCAAAAUGC